This 497-nucleotide ribosomal RNA is filed under the name uncultured bacterium. RNAcentral's name for it is "partial 16S ribosomal RNA". It matches the Rfam family "Bacterial small subunit ribosomal RNA", at positions 28 to 507 of the family's 1533-position model. The record is from RNAcentral.
GAUGAACGCUGGCGGCGUGCCUAAUACAUGCAAGUCGAGCGAACAGAUGAGGAGCUUGCUCCUCUGACGUUAGCGGCGGACGGGUGAGUAACACGUGGAUAACCUACCUAUAAGACUGGGAUAACUUCGGGAAACCGGAGCUAAUACCGGAUAAUAUAUUGAACCGCAUGGUUCAAUAGUGAAAGACGGUUUUGCUGUCACUUAUAGAUGGAUCCGCGCCGCAUUAGCUAGUUGGUAAGGUAACUGCUUACCAAGGCAACGAUGCGUAGCCGACCUGAGAGGGUGAUCGGCCACACUGGAACUGAGACACGGUCCAGACUCCUACGGGAGGCAGCAGUAGGGAAUCUUCCGCAAUGGGCGAAAGCCUGACGGAGCAACGCCGCGUGAGUGAUGAAGGUCUUCGGAUUGUAAAACUCUGUUAUUAGGGAAGAACAAAUGUGUAAGUAACUAUGCACGUCUUGACGGUACCUAAUCAGAAAGCCACGGCUAACUACGUG